Molecule: non-coding RNA, 24 nt
Filed under: Arabidopsis thaliana (thale cress)
Lineage: Eukaryota; Viridiplantae; Streptophyta; Magnoliopsida; Brassicales; Brassicaceae
Also listed under: 2 other names
Source: RNAcentral
GUCGUUGUAGUAUAGUGGUAAGUA